CCUACGGGCGGCUGCAGUGAGGAAUAUUGGUCAAUGGCCGAGAGGCUGAACCAGCCAAGUCGCGUGAGGGAUGACGGUCCUAUGGGUUGUAAACCUCUUUUGUCGGGGAGCAAAGAACGCCACGCGUGGCGUUCCGAGAGUACCCGAAGAAAAAGCAUCGGCUAACUCCGUGCCAGCAGCCGCGGUAAUACGGAGGAUGCGAGCGUUAUCCGGAUUUAUUGGGUUUAAAGGGUGCGCAGGCGGAAGAGCAAGUCAGCGGUAAAAUUGAGAGGCUCAACCUCUUCGAGCCGUUGAAACUGCGUUUCUUGAGUGAGCGAGAAGUACGCGGAAUGCGUGGUGUAGCGGUGAAAUGCAUAGAUAUCACGCAGAACUCCGAUUACGAAGGCAGCAUACCGGCGCUCAACUGACGCUCAUGCACGAAAGUGUGGGUAUCGAACAGGAUUAGAUACCCGUGUAGUC
Molecule: ribosomal RNA, 459 nt
Filed under: uncultured bacterium
Lineage: Bacteria
Description: partial 16S ribosomal RNA
Rfam family: Bacterial small subunit ribosomal RNA
Source: RNAcentral